This 482-nucleotide ribosomal RNA is filed under the name uncultured bacterium. Its description in RNAcentral is "partial 16S ribosomal RNA". It matches the Rfam family "Bacterial small subunit ribosomal RNA", at positions 30 to 507 of the family's 1533-position model. The record is from RNAcentral.
AUUGAACGCUGGCGGCAUGCCUUACACAUGCAAGUCGAACGGUAACAGGUCUUCGGAUGCUGACGAGUGGCGAACGGGUGAGUAAUACAUCGGAACGUGCCCGAUCGUGGGGGAUAACGAGGCGAAAGCUUUGCUAAUACCGCAUACGAUCUACGGAGGAGAGCGGGGGGUCUUCGGACCUCUCGCGGACGUGGCGGGCGAUGGCAGAUUAGGUAGUUGGUGGGGUAAAAGCUUACCAAGCCGACGAUCUGUAGCUGGUCUGAGAGGAUGAUCAGCCACACUGGGACUGAGACACGGCCCAGACUCCUACGGGAGGCAGCAGUGGGGAAUUUUGGACAAUGGGCGAAAGCCUGAUCCAGCCAUGCCGCGUGCAGGAUGAAGGCCUUUGGGUUGUAAACUGCUUUUGUACGGAAAGAAAAGCCUCUUUCUAAUAAAGAGGGGUCAUGACGGUACCGUAAGAAUAAGCACCGGCUAACUACGUG